UGCGAGUCUUUGCAGUAAUGCAAGGCAUACGGCUCUGUAACACGUAGUCAACUUACCCUAUGGACGAGGAUAAUCUCGGGAAACUGAGCAUAAUACUCGAUAGACCAUAAUGCCUGGAAUGGUUUAUGGUUGAAAUGAUUCGUCGCCAUAGGAUGGGACUGCGGCCUAUCAGCUUGUUGGUGAGGUAAUGGCCCACCAAGGCGAUUACAGGUACGGGCUCUGAGAGGAGAAGCCCGGAGAUGGGUACUGAGACAAGGACCCAGGCCCUAUGGGGCGCAGCAGGCGAGAAAACUUUGCAAUGUGCGAAAGCACGACAAGGUUAAUCCGAGUGAUUUCUGCUAAAGAAAUCUUUUGCAAGUCAUAAAACCACUAGUGAAUAAGGGGUGGGCAAGUUCUGGUGUCAGCCGCCGCGGUAAACCAGCACCUCAAGUGGUCAGGAGGAUUACUGGGCCUAAAGCAUCCGUAGCCGGCUCUGUAAGUUUUCGGUUAAAUCCAUGUGCUCAACGCAUGGGCUGCCGAAAAUACUGCAUAGCUAGGGAGUGGGAGAGGUAGACGGUACUCGGUAGGAAGGGGUAAAAUCCUUUGAUCUAUCGAUGACCACCUGUGGCGAAGGCGGUCUACCAGAACACGUUCGACGGUGAGGGAUGAAAGCUGGGGGAGCAAACC
This 666-nucleotide ribosomal RNA is filed under the name uncultured archaeon. RNAcentral describes it as "bacterial SSU rRNA". It matches the Rfam family "Archaeal small subunit ribosomal RNA", at positions 52 to 725 of the family's 1478-position model. The record is from RNAcentral.